UACGGAGGGGGCUAGCGUUGUUCGGAAUUACUGGGCGUAAAGCGCACGUAGGCGGAUUGGUAAGUUGGGGGUGAAAUCCCAGGGCUCAACCCUGGAACUGCCUUCAAAACUCCCAGUCUGGAGGUCGAGAGAGGUGAGUGGAAUUCCGAGUGUAGAGGUGAAAUUCGUAGAUAUUCGGAGGAACACCAGUGGCGAAGGCGGCUCACUGGCUCGAUACUGACGCUGAGGUGCGAAAGCGUGGGGAGCAAACAGG
This 253-nucleotide ribosomal RNA is filed under the name uncultured bacterium. RNAcentral describes it as "partial 16S ribosomal RNA". It matches the Rfam family "Bacterial small subunit ribosomal RNA", at positions 524 to 776 of the family's 1533-position model. The record is from RNAcentral.